UACAGAGGUGGCAAGCGUUGUUCGGAAUUACUGGGCGUAAAGGGCGCGUAGGCGGCCAUCUAAGUCAGACGUGAAAUCCCCCGGCUUAACCUGGGAACUGCGUCUGAUACUGGACGGCUUGAGUAUGGGAGAGGGAUGUAGAAUUCCAGGUGUAGCGGUGAAAUGCGUAGAUAUCUGGAGGAAUACCGGUGGCGAAGGCGGCAUCCUGGACCGGCAUUGACGCUGAGGCGCGAAAGCCAGGGGAGCAAACGGG
Molecule: ribosomal RNA, 253 nt
Filed under: uncultured bacterium
Lineage: Bacteria
Description: partial 16S ribosomal RNA
Rfam family: Bacterial small subunit ribosomal RNA
Source: RNAcentral